Molecule: ribosomal RNA, 1243 nt
Filed under: metagenome
Description: bacterial LSU rRNA
Rfam family: Bacterial large subunit ribosomal RNA
Source: RNAcentral
UGAGUACGAGACGCUAAGGCGUCGAAGUAGUGGAUGUCAUACUUCCAAGAAAAGCUUGCACUGUCAUAAAUAGAAAACGCCUGUACCAUAACCGACACAGGUGGGUAGGUAGAGUAUACUAAGGGGCGCGAGAUAACUCUCUCUAAGGAACUCGGCAAAAUAACUCCGUAACUUCGGGAGAAGGAGUGCCUUAUUCGUAAGGCUGCAAUAACAAGAUCCAAGCAACUGUUUAUCAAAAACACAGGUCUCCGCUAAGUCGUAAGACGAUGUAUGGGGGCUGACGCCUGCCCAGUGCCAGAAGGUUAAAGAAGUCGGUUAGCAUUAGCGAAGCUGGUAACUGAAGCCCUGGUGAACGGCGGCCGUAACGAUAACGGUCCUAAGGUAGCGAAAUUCCUUGUCGGGUAAGUUCCGACCCGCACGAAAGGCGUAAUGAUUUGGAUACUGUCUCGGAGAGGGGCUCGGUGAAAUAGACUUGUCUGUGAAGAUGCGGACUACCUGCACCAGGACAGAAAGACCCUAUGAAGCUUUACUGUAACUUGAAAUCGAAAUUGGACUUUAUUCGCGCAGUAUAGGUGGGAGGUGUUGAUUAUAAUCUUGCGGGAUUAUUGGAGCCAUCAGUGAGAUACCACUCUUGUAAUGUUAGAUUUCUAACUUUGAAUCAUUAUCUGGUCAAAGAACAGUUUCAGGCGGGCAGUUUGACUGGGGCGGUCGCCUCCUAAAUGGUAACGGAGGCGUACAAAGGUUUCCUCUGAACGGGUAGAAAUCGUAUCUAGAGUGUAAAGGCAUAAGGAAGCUUGACUGUGAAACCUACAAGUCGAGCAGGGACGAAAGUCGGUCUUAGUGAUCUGACGGUACUGAGUGGAAAGGCCGUCACUCAACGGAUAAAAGUUACUCUAAGGAUAACAGGCUGAUCUCCCCCAAGAGUUCACAUCGACGGGGAGGUUUGGCACCUCGAUGUCGGCUCAUCGCAUCCUGGGGCGGUAGUACGUCCCAAGGGUUGGGCUGUUCGCCCAUGAAAGCGGUACGCGAGCUGGGUUCAGAACGUCGUGAGACAGUUCGGUCCAUAUCCGGUGUAGGCGUUAGAAUAUUGAGAGGAGCCUUCUUUAGUACGAGAGGACCGAGAAGGACAUACCUCUGGUGUACCAGUUAUCGUGCCAACGGUAAACGCUGGGUAGCUAUGUAUGGAGUGGAUAACCGCUGAAAGCAUCUAAGUGGGAAGCCCACCUCAAGAUAAGUAUUCUCA